RNAcentral lists this unclassified non-coding RNA (772 nucleotides) under Hevea brasiliensis (rubber tree). Lineage: Eukaryota; Viridiplantae; Streptophyta; Magnoliopsida; Malpighiales; Euphorbiaceae. The record is from RNAcentral.
AAUUGCAAAGUUAAAAACUCAUAAUCCACUCAAUUCAAUAAUAAUCCUAAAGAGUAGUAAAAAUUAUACAUGAAAAUGUUAAAAUGAAAUAUUAAUCAUCACAAAUCAAAGCUUGUGGAUCGUGGACACAGCGACCUUGAGGUGAAACCGGGAAGGGUGGUGCCAUAAUAGUUGAGGUGUUGAGGUGAGGCAGGUUUAAUAGCACACCGCAAGGAGGAUGGUGGUGUGCGACUAGGAAACUGAGAUCGAUAAACUAAGGGUGAAGGGAAACAAAAGGAAACUGAAAUUGAAGGGAAGAGCUAAAAACUAAUAAUCAAUAAAUCAAGGAAAACAACAUGAGAGAGGGAUGGAUAGAGACGAGAGGGAGGGAUGGAGGCAAGGUGAGAGUGGAGGCGUUGUCAUUUCUGUUGGCAAACAAGCAGUAGGCUGGAGAUUGGAGUGAGGUAACGAGCAGAAGACUUGAGGGUUUUUAUAUAUAGGCAGAUCUAAAUAAUGUAACAGAACCAAACGAAACCACCUAGUUCAGUUUUCCAGUAGAAACAGAGUUCAGCUAAUCAGUAGCAGCUAGUACUCCUAUAAUACUAAUAAUAAUAAUUAAAAAAAGGAAGCCAAAUCAACAUGGUUUGAUAACUAGGAAACAGUAAUCACCUAAACAUUAGGUAGGCAGCAGUUUGAUUCACCACCAAACUCCCAAAAAUUCACAUGAAACUGCCUUUUAAUUCAGAGGGCACGCAACAUCAAGAAAGAGAAAUAAGCAUCAACAAGAAGUGUA